RNAcentral lists this ribosomal RNA (468 nucleotides) under uncultured bacterium. Its description in RNAcentral is "partial 16S ribosomal RNA". It matches the Rfam family "Bacterial small subunit ribosomal RNA", at positions 28 to 507 of the family's 1533-position model. The record is from RNAcentral.
GACGAACGCUGGCGGCGUGCUUAACACAUGCAAGUCGAACGGAAAGGCCCUGCUUUUGUGGGGUGCUCGAGUGGCGAACGGGUGAGUAACACGUGAGUAACCUGCCCUUGACUUUGGGAUAACUUCAGGAAACUGGGGCUAAUACCGGAUAGGAGCUCCUGCUGCAUGGUGGGGGUUGGAAAGUUUCGGCGGUUGGGGAUGGACUCGCGGCUUAUCAGCUUGUUGGUGGGGUAGUGGCUUACCAAGGCUUUGACGGGUAGCCGGCCUGAGAGGGUGACCGGCCGCAUUGGGACUGAGAUACGGCCCAGACUCCUACGGGAGGCAGCAGUGGGGAAUAUUGCACAAUGGGCGGAAGCCCGAUGCAGCAACGCCGCGUGCGGGAUGACGGCCUUCGGGUUGUAAACCGCUUUCGCCUGUGACGAAGCGUGAGUGACGGUAAUGGGUAAAGAAGCACCGGCUAACUACGUG